This is a non-coding RNA of Danio rerio (zebrafish), 189 nucleotides long. The record is from RefSeq and is a predicted model, not a curated record. NCBI's taxonomy places the organism in Eukaryota, Metazoa, Chordata, Actinopteri, Cypriniformes, Danionidae.
UUCACCAGGCAAGCAACGGCUCUUCUAAUUUGAAAUCCACCUGUCGCCUUUUCUUCCAGUGAAUUCAUCCUCGCACAACACUGAGAUGAAGGCAAAGUCACCAUGAAAAGUUAAACGUUUAACGUUAAGCUACAGCAAUUGAUGCUGAAAAACUGAUGCUACCAAUCUCUCCUCACUUGAUUAUUCAAG